AGCGAACGCUGGCGGCAGGCUUAACACAUGCAAGUCGAGCGGGCCCUUCGGGGUCAGCGGCAGACGGGUGAGUAACACGUGGGAACGUACCCUUUGGUUCGGAAUAACGCAGGGAAACUAGCGCUAAUACCGGAUACGCCCUUUUGGGGAAAGGCUUGCUGCCGAAGGAUCGGCUCGCGUCUGAUUAGCCGGUUGGUGGGGUAAUGGCCUACCAAGGCGACGAUCAGUAGCUGGUCUGAGAGGAUGAUCAGCCACACUGGGACUGAGACACGGCCCAGACUCCUACGGGAGGCUGCAGUGGGGUAUAUUGGGCAAUGGGCGCAAGCCUGAUCCAGCCAUGCCGCGUGAGUGAUGAAGGCCUUAGGGUUGUAAAGCUCUUUUGUCCGGGACGAUAAUGACGUUACCGGAAGAAUAAGCCCCGGCUAACUUCGUG
Molecule: ribosomal RNA, 433 nt
Filed under: uncultured bacterium
Lineage: Bacteria
Description: partial 16S ribosomal RNA
Rfam family: Bacterial small subunit ribosomal RNA
Source: RNAcentral